This 222-nucleotide long non-coding RNA is filed under the name Brassica napus (rape). RNAcentral describes it as "long non-coding RNA (BNAP_LNC008816)". The record is from RNAcentral. Lineage: Eukaryota; Viridiplantae; Streptophyta; Magnoliopsida; Brassicales; Brassicaceae.
UCAUUAGGUGAAGUAAUUACAGUGUUAACUGCAAAACUUUCAUGGAAACCACUGUUUGCACAGCUGCCUAGGGAAUAAUCAUCAUGUCCUCUCCUGGUUGGAGGUUGGAAGGCAAAAUGUUGGUAACAAUGUUUUGGUGAAGCGAAAUGGUCAAGUGGGUGCAUUACGUCGAGUGACGUGUUGUUGCGGUCAUCGGUCACCAUUGACACAUUGGAAUCGAUC